CUAUCAUCAGCAAGAUAUCUGGCUCCCAAGUGUCUUUUAUACAGGCAAUGAGCUGAGAUUAAAUGAGCUCCCUCUUAAAGGGAGUGAUCCUAAUCUCAGCUCAUUACCUGUAUAAAAGACACCUGUUCACAGAAUCAAUCAAUCAAUCAGAUUCCAAACUCUCCACCAUGGCCAAUGGGCUACAAUAUCAUCGCCAAGUAGCUUGGUGAGAAGGUGACAACAGUUGGUGCGAUUAUUCGCAAAUGGAAGAAACACAAAGUAACUGUCAGUCUCGCUCAGUCUGGUGAUGGUGAGGAAUCAGCCCAAAACUAUUUGGAAGGAUCUUGUUAAUGAUCUCAAGGCAGCUGGGACCAUAGUCACCAAGAAAACAAUUGGUAACACACUACGCCGUGAAGGACUGAAAUCCUGC
Pelobates cultripes (western spadefoot toad) is the source of this 409-nucleotide non-coding RNA. The record is from the annotation of a GenBank genome assembly. NCBI's taxonomy places the organism in Eukaryota, Metazoa, Chordata, Amphibia, Anura, Pelobatidae.